RNAcentral lists this long non-coding RNA (706 nucleotides) under Cricetulus griseus (Chinese hamster). RNAcentral's name for it is "lncRNA (ENSCGRG00015036020.1)". The record is from RNAcentral. Lineage: Eukaryota; Metazoa; Chordata; Mammalia; Rodentia; Cricetidae.
AGGGAGUGGGUGGGGAAAAGGGGAGGUGAGAGAAAGGACAUGGGUGGGUGCCUUCUGCCUGUUGGGAGGAAGAAAGCUCUUCUUAGUGCUGGCCAGGGUCUCUUGCCUCUGGAAGCUGCUGGAAACAGAAUGAUCCAGACACAACCCGAAGCACCAAGAGGUCAGCACAGCAUAUAGGCAUUGAGGUGGCGAGGAUGCGUCCCUGAAAGCUAAGAUGCCAAGACUUGAGCAAAGAAAGGUGAACAUGAGCUGUGUAAAAGCGAAACCAAAUGCAAGUGGUGAACUGUGGGUUUUGAACCUAGAUGGCUAUCAUCCAAACUCAAGUUUUUAGCUAUCACCUAAGAUGAUGGAAGUGAAAUCUGCAGGAUGAGGAGAUGACAACUGGUUGAAGCAGAGGAGGGAAACAUGUUCCAAGACAGAAAGAAGAAGCAAAUGGAUAAACUUUGAAGCAAGAGGGCAGAGGUCUGACAAAAAUUCACUAUGACUGGUGACAGUGUUUAGAUGGAGGUACAAAAGAAGGUGGGUAGUGGCCAUGCCAUCCUGAGGCCUUUAUGAACUUAGUCUUCGUCCUGAAGCCGAUGGUGAUGCACUGAGGUUCGUAAUGAGGAAAAGGAUAUGCUUGGGGUUUUACGUCAUAUUUGAUAUUUUCAGCUACCCAAUAAAGAAGUGAUGGCUUCCAUUUUGCUCAGGGAGCAGAAAGAACUCA